CACCGGGGGAUAACGGAGCGAAAAGUCCGAUCGUCCGAGCAUACACGGAUCCGUUCUACUUUAGCCCAGGAAAAGCCCUCGCGAUGAACCCACGAUAAAAGCGGUUGCCUUCCGUCUUUUUUCUUUUCCUUCUCUCUCCCUUUCCGAACGAUCAAAAGAUUCCAAUCGUAUCGUCGACGAUAGUCGCGUAAAUCCAAGCGUAAAAUUCCUUUCGGAAAGCGAGAGAAAAAAAUGUCACUCGAACUCGCGAACGAGACGACGAAAAAAACGGGACAAAGCAUUUUCUUGUUGUUGCGUGUAUAUCUGAACGUAGAAACCUCUCUCUCUCUCUCUCUCUCUCUCUCUCUUUCUCCCUCAUAAUUGUACUUUUGUUCGUAACUUUUCUCUCUCUAUCUCUAACGAUUAUCAGUUUUAAUUUUGAAAGUGCAUCGUCGCAAUUAAGUUGAGAGCUAACGCAGAUUGGUCUCGGUGAGUUACGAACUAUCUCAUCGCUAAACGACGGAAUUUCGUCGGUACGUUCUUGAACGACGUAACGAAUGUGUGCAUUUGCUAAAUGCACGUGCGCAAUCACGCUCGUAAACGAACGAUGCUCUCUAACAAUAACUUUAACAAUUUUCGAGUCUCGCACGAGCACGGCUACAUAAAUUCUUUCUUCCAAAUUUUCCGCUACGACGUUCCUUUCUUAUUUCUUUUUUCUUCCACGAUCUUUCACCGACCGUUUCUCGACAGCUUUUUACGUACAUGUACUUUUUACGCAUACGCGCGUAUCAUAUAUACCAACGUGUAGGCAUACAUAUCUAUAGUUGAUGUUUUAUUUAUAAACUCGGACGCGGUUCGAGAAAUAUAUUUAUAUCUUCCGCGUUCCUCCAUUAUCGAGCAACAAAGGAGCCUCGCGCUUCCUGAAAAGGAUCGACCUGUUUUCGUAGCACUUAUAAAAGCACGGUGCGCAAGGUCGUCGGAAUUCAGUUCACCGUAACGCUCGAGACAGUUCGGUCCGAGCGAACUAUGCAAACGAAAAAUCCUCGACGAAGACAGAGACGAGCUUUUUCUCUGGCCAAUUGGACCAAUUUUAUUUUUGACGAACUUUCUCGAGAUUUCCUCGGCGAUCGAUACUUUUGAAACGCAGAAGGAAGAAGAAGAGGCAGACGCGUAUGUCCACGAGGCGUUCGCUCGAGUAAUCGUCGAAGGCGCGAUCGAAGGAAGAGGAAAGAUGGGUAAUCAUUUUUACGAGGAAACGCGUACGCGCAAAUUUGAAUGCAUUCGUACUAAUUACGAAAUGAAUUUACUCAAACGUAAUUAACGAUAAGGUAGCACGCUUAUUAGCUCUUGUUCGAAAUUCUAAAACUAUCGAGAGAACUCGUAGAACCAGCCGGCGAACUUUAUUAUCUCCAGCUACCGAACCUAAGAUGCGAAAGUCAUUAUUGCGAGCGGGAUGAGAGAGAGAAGGAGAGGAGGCAGGAAGGAAGGAGAUGAACGGAGUGCGGCCUCAAUUGAAAAAUAUUACUUUUCCGGACGCGGAACGACGGGGGAAAAAAUUAAAUCGCAUCGACCUUUCUUAAUUACCUUUUGCGGUAUUAUGCGAAAAAAAAGAGGAGAGGGGAAAGAAAGAGGAAAAAGAAGGAAAGGGAAUUAAUCUCACCUUCCCUUCUACCUCUUUUUCUCUUUCUUGCAAACGCGGAAAGAUAUAUCUCGGUCGUUUCAUCGAACCGCCGCGGCGCAUCGUUUCCGCCGAUCCUCCUCUCCUUCGUCUUUAUUAUAAUAAUAGUCCGAAUGGUCCGAAUAGUAGUAGCGAGUCGAACGUUUCUGUCUUUAGAAUCGUUUCGCGUAAAACGUUUAACGUCUUCGCGUAAUGUCUACCAUUUAUAUCUCUGAAUAUCAUUCCACCGUCGAGAACAAUGGACGCAGCAGCCAACGCUCCGGCCAUCUUAUUUAAGCUCGAACGAGCGACCUUUUCAACGAAUAGUAAAUCGAGCCGCUGACAGGAAAAGUACUCACUCGUUCCUACGUUCGGCCGUUCGACGCGCGGAAGACGCGAAAACGCGGAACGGAGAGGACGUCGCAGAAUUCGGUUACCGAGAUUCGUUUUUUUCCCCCGUAAUAGGAGUUGUUCGUACUCGAGGGACAUAGGCGGGCUCGCGUCCGGUCCGAAAAAGAUCCGAGGAUGCGGGCGCUUCGACGAUGGGAGCGUCUUCUUUGGAAGGAUCGAAGAGAGGGAGGGUGGAUCGCAUCCGAGCGCACUCUCCCAGAGCGCGAUGCUCGAGGUUUCCGAGGCCACCUGUUGGCAGAGAAGACGUAAACUCGGCCGCAAACAAUGACGGGGAGGACCGAGGAGGAACAUGACGAGAAACGGAAAGAGAAGUAAGAAGAAGGAGGUGGAGGAGGAGCAGGAGGACAAUUCCAAAGCUUCGACCGGUCGCUCGUGUCAAACGAAUCGUUCGGCUCUCCGUUGAUUAAACGUUUUAUUAGUUAAA
Vespula pensylvanica (western yellowjacket) is the source of this 2471-nucleotide RNA transcript. RefSeq lists it as uncharacterized. The record is from RefSeq and is a predicted model, not a curated record. Lineage: Eukaryota; Metazoa; Arthropoda; Insecta; Hymenoptera; Vespidae. The transcript has 3 exons.